UUUAAAGGUGAAAUAUGGAAGAUCGAAUUUGGAGUUUCUCUAAUCGGUCGACUUGUGGUUGUAUAAACUGUACUGACAUAGUCGCCGGAAAAUUCCCACAGCUUCAGAAUUUCUCUUCUCCGUUUUGCCCAAACCUCCACCAGAUCCCUCUGCACUUUGAAGCAGACCUCGUCCCUAAAAUUCUUACCUUUUCCAUACCCUUUCUUUAUGGACUCCACGAAUCCCAAUCCUCCUUCCAUGCGGGUCCUGACCCGUCCACCUCCCCCUGCACCCAUGCCCGCUUCCUCUCCAGAUGCUCAACCAUCUUCCCAAUCUCAACCUCGCUCUCUAGAAGGCGUUGUUGUUGUUGGGUUUGUUUCACGUAGCCCUGACCACUCUUCCCAGCUCAUUAACCGUGUCCUGGACUCCAAUACAUUCGGGUCAGGCAAUCUCGAUAAACUGCUGUUCAAUGACAAAGAGGAAGUGAGGGAUUGGUUUAACGGGCGGAGAAUUAGUUAUUACCAUGAGGAGGAGAAAGGGAUUUUGUUCUUGCAGUUUUGUUCGACCCGGUGCCCCGCUGUUCAUGGGUCUUCAGGUCUGGCUUCUGGGUUAGACUCAUGUUUGGAAGAGCGGGAGUUUGAAGAUCUUCAGGGAUUGCUUUUCAUGUUUUCUGUGAGUUCCUAUCCAUUUUUGGUUAUUAAUGGAAAUUCGAGUUUUACAUAUACAUUUAUUUUGAACCUAGAGAAUUGAAGUGUGAUUGAUUACUUCUAUUAACUUAGGUUAUAAACGAAAUAUUGAACUGUUUAAAUUUUCAGUGGGAGUGGGAAUAGUUAGUUAUUGCUGAUCUGGGUUUUCUGGAAUAUGGUUAUAUAUGUUUAAUUUAGGUUCGACUUGUAUGCAUUUAGUUCAUAGGAGUUUGCUGAUUAAAUGAUGGGCAUGGUUUGGUUAAUCUAAAGUAUAUUCAAAAUUUGCGAGAAUAUUUUUCUGUUAGUUAACUAGCAUUUUAUUCAUCGGGGUAAAUUCACUAGAACAUUGCAAAAUUUGGAAAUUCUGGAAUCAAGUGUUAUUUUUUUUAAAUGUUUUGUUUAAAGUUUUGAUGCAGCUCUGAUCAUGUGGGUGACAUAUCUGGUAAAUGACUCAAUUAGCAAUGCAGGUGUGCCAUGUAAUUAUAUAUAUUCAAGAGGGUUCGUGUUUUGACCCUCGAAUUUUGAAAAAGUUUAGGGUGUUGCAAGCAGCCAAGCAUGCAUUGGCUCCAUAUGUAAGAUCCAGAGCUACCCCGCCAUUGCCGUCUAGGUCUCAUUCUUCAUCAUCUUCCUCUAGGCCAACCCCUUCAACUGGUUCCUCUCCAGGGAGAAGUGGUGUCACAAAUCGCAAUGCUUCAGCUAUUUCUCUCAUGUCAGGUUUAGGUUUCUACACAUCGUUGUUUCCUGGACAUUGUACUCCAGUCAUACUAUUUGUCUUUGUUGAUGAUUUCUUUGAGAUGCCAAAUCCUAAUUCUAACACAGAGGAGUCAAAAGAUUUGUCCUUACUUAAUCAAUCUUCUGGUUUGAGUAGUGUGUCUAGGCCAAACUUACCUACUAAGGGUUCUGGUUCAGUUGUUGUGCUGGCACGCCCUGUUAGUAAAUCUGAAGGUGGUUUCAGGAAGAAACUGCAGUCAUCUCUGGAAGCACAGAUUCGUUUUCUGAUUAAGAAAUGCCGAACACUCUCAGGUGCUGAAAGUGGUCAUUCUGGUUCCAGAAGUGUAAGUGUGACAAGUUCUGCACCUUUGUUUUCUCUUGAUGCUUCACGGGCUGUUGUGCUGCUUGACAGGUUAAUAAAUCAGAGAGGUGAAUCUCUGGAGUUUGUUACUGACCUCGUGGAAGAUGUUUUGAAUGGAAAAGCUACAUCAGAUUCUCUUUUACUUGAAACCCAUGGUCAGAGUGCAAACAAGGAGGAUAUUUUAUCCAUAAAAGAGUUCAUUUUCAGACAAUCUGAUAUUCUGAGAGGUAGAGGGGGAUUGGUCACUAGCACCAGCAGCGGUCCAGCUGCUGGUGUUGGUAUGGUUGCUGUUGCUGCAGCUGCUGCUGCAGCCUCAGCUGCAUCUGGAAAGACACACACUACUCCUGAACUUCCAAGUUUGGAAAUAUGGUUAUCAUCAAGCCAACUCAUUCUACAUGGAAUUCUCUCUGCAAAACGGUGUGUAGAUGAAACAGAAGCUGUUAAAAGAAAAUCUCGCCAGCGAAACUCUGGUUUAACCCAAGUUGAAGGGUUUGCUCCUAAAGGCAUGGAUCCUUUAGAUGUUGCAGUUUCUUUGUUGGAAAGUGGCAGAGGACUGAAUGCAAAAUUUUCAACUUUGUGGUGUGAAAGGACCCUUCCAACUGCCAAAGAUGUUUAUCUGAAGGACUUGCCAGCUUGUUAUCCCACUUCAGAGCAUGAGGCCCAUUUAGGAAAGGCUUUAAGUGCUUUCUACUCGAUGGUCAGGGGACCUGCAGUGCCUCUUUUUGCAAAAAGGCUGGAGGAUGAAUGCACCUCCAUCUGGAAAUCUGGUAGGCAACUAUGUGAUGCUGUUAGUUUGACAGGAAAACCAUGUAUGCACCAGAGACAUGAUAUUGGAAAUGGAGAGCUAGAGUCACCUUUAGGAGCUCCAGUGAAGGCACAUUCAAGUGGAUAUUUUUUCCUUCAUGCUUGUGCCUGUGGCCGUUCACGGCAUAUGCGAUCAGAUCCUUUUGAGUUUGAAUCAGCAAAUGUUACUUCCAAUUGCUUUCAAGACUGUGACAAACUGCUUCCUGCAGUCCAAUUACCCAAGCAGGGCAAUGUGGGACCUGUUCAGUCAUCCUCAUGGAGUUUGAUUCGUGUUGGGGGGGCAAGGUAUUAUGAACCUUAUAGGGGCUUACUUCAGAGUGGGUUCUCUGCCUCACGGAAGUUUCUCUCGAAGUGGACAAUAAUUUUGGAAAAACCAGAGAAUCCAAAUGGUUUACCGGCCAAAACUGUGCGACAAGUUUCUAUGACUAGGCAAGGUACAGACCCACAGGUUGAAGUUAAUGCUGAGAUAGACAGACAGAAAACUGGUGCUGCACGGUUGUAUUCAGGAGACAUACAGGUUGGGGUUGAAAAUCAGCGAAAACUUUCAGAAAACAGCAAGAUUGAUGACAAAAAAAUUAGUUUUGGCAGAGGUUUGCCAAAUGUUAAAAUGAGAAAACCUUUUUCUGAGGUUGUUGCUGGAUCAUCAGCUGCUGAUUCGGGAUUUCCUCCUCUCCAGCAGAGGAAACAACCUUCAUCAGGUUCAGAAAGAAGUUUCAAACAAAACAGGGCAAGAGAUAGGAAUGCAGAACAGGUUCGUACAACUGUUGAUCAAGGAUCUCAGACAUCUGAAGAUGCUAUAUCUGGUCAAGAAGCCUUAAAUGAAAUAUCUAGCAGUGGUGGCAAACAUGGGGACCCUUAUGUACAGAUAGGAAGUAAUGUAGUUCCUGUGAACGUUAAUGGUGGUGAAAUGGUUAAACUGAACCCUACUUUGAAACAUGCAAUUGUUUAUAUUGGUUUUGAGCAUGAGUGCCCCCAUGGCCACCGUUUCUUAUUAAGUUUGGAUCUGCUUGAUGAACUAGGAUCUCCGUAUUCUUUUCCCAAAGAAUCCCAAGUCCCUUCUGUGGGAACUUCUGACCAUAAUCUGGCAAGUCCUUCAAAAUUGGGUGGGAAUGGUGGACAUGGCAGAAUUCAUCGAAGCUCAAAGGGAACAAAUGUUGCUGCUGCAAAUAAGUUCCGGAAUGUGGAUAAGUUAAAUGAAAUUGGGGCAAAUGGUGGUUUGCAUAUUGAUGGGUUGAUUCAUUUAUCCAGGGCAGGGAAGGAACAGAAUCAAACAUCUACCUGUGAAACAACAUAUCAAGAGUUUGUGAAAAAUCUUGAAGUGGACUUUCAUUCUAUUAGCCUUGAUGAUGGCGGAAGUGCUUUCUCCAUGUUGAAUAGAAAUUUGCCUAUAUACAUGAACUGUCCAUACUGCAGGCAUUCCAAGAAGAAGAAGGAUUCACAAAAGAUUAAGUUUGCUGGCGCAAUAUCGCAGUUACAGAGGAUUUUUUUGGUCACACCUCCAUUUCCAGUUGUAUUGGCAACAUGCCCAGUUGUACAAUUUGAGGUGUCAUGUUUGCCACCAUCAGUUGCAAACCGUGAACAGAAGUUGCAGUUCAGCCUUGGAUGUCGAGUGGUUCUACCACCAGAAAGUUUCCUAACACUAAGACUCCCGUUUGUGUAUGGUGUGCAACUAGAGGAUAGAAGUCCACUUCCUAUUAAUGCUUUUGAACAUCAACCUGAAAUGACUGCUUGGAUUUUGAAGGGCACAACAUUGCAGGUGAUUUCCAAGCAAAUCAGUCUCAAUAAGGAAACCCAGACAUAGUAGAAUUUCUGAACCUUGGAAUUUGGUCAUCAUAGUGAUCCAUUCCUUUUUUGAGUUCAUAGAAGCAGAUGUUUGUGACCAGCUUUUCCUUGACUAAGCUCAAGAAUUGAAAUGGCUUAUACUUGUGAUGAAACUGUAGUUGGUGAUCAAUCAGCAGCAACCAGAAGGCUGAGAAGUUGAGAACGUUCUGCUGUUGCAAGUAUUUUUCUCUUUUUGUUUCAUUCUGAAUAAAUAUUCUUCUUAUUUAUUUAUUUAUCCUAUUUAUGUGGCUACUUUUUAUUAUGUAGAAUUUGGACCUAUAGGUGGCUGUUGCUUUCCAGUGGACGUUCCUGUUGCCAUGGUAUGCCACUCUUUAUCUGUGCUUGGACUCUGAUGUUUUGUGCUCAUGGAUAAUUUCAAUUAUGUGUUUUCUUGUCAUGUGAUUAACAGCGCUCUGCAUCUUGGGGGAAAAAAAAAAACCUCUCCCUCCUGCUCUUUUCUUCUUCCAAUGAUGAGCUAAAAAGCAAUUAAGAAAAUGAAAAUAAUAAAUGAACCAGAUGGUAGAUAAUUGCUGUUCUUUCUACAGAAUGAAAGACAUUAAUGCUAGGGAGAGUGUAAAGCAAUCCCAUGGGUGGUGGCCUGGUGGGGUGGUUAUUUAUUAUGAUAAAAAUUGUUAUAUUAAAAUAAAUUUAUCAUCUCUAGCUAAUGUAAUUAAGAUUGCUUAACUUCUCUGAUAAAGGAUUUAUUCUUUUGACAGUUUAUGUCUUUGCAUGUGGCAUACUUGUGAGAUGAAGGAUGCGCAGAUAUAUCCUGGAGUCCUCUUGCAAAAUUAUCUGUUUCUUCAAUAUUUUGACCCUACAUCAAUAUUCUGGUGUGGGCUACAAAGUUGUACUGGAUUAACAUGGGCGGACGGGACGCUCUAGAUUUGAUGAAUAUUAUUGAUACCUUUUCUGUGGUGAUGUAAACUAAAAUAUUAUAUAAUAUUGUCAUCUUUAUUUCCAUGUGUUCUGGAUUUUCUUUUCCAUUUGCAUGACAGUUCUGUAGCAGUUGAAAGCCUGCCAAAUAAUGGUUACCAAACGUAGUUGGACCAGGUAAUCAAUGCAGAUCACGAGAACUCG
This 5439-nucleotide unclassified non-coding RNA is filed under the name Hevea brasiliensis (rubber tree). Lineage: Eukaryota; Viridiplantae; Streptophyta; Magnoliopsida; Malpighiales; Euphorbiaceae. The record is from RNAcentral.